AGGACCGCGUUGGAGAAGCAGGGCACGUGCAUGCAUAUGUGUUCAUCUUCUUCCUCUUCUCCGGCCUUGUACCCUUGUGUGGAAUUGGAGGUUUAGAACUCGCACUGCACGUGGUCUCCUUCUCCAUCCCGGUUUU
This 136-nucleotide microRNA precursor is filed under the name Leersia perrieri. RNAcentral describes it as "pre miRNA MIR164". It matches the Rfam family "MIR164 microRNA precursor family". Lineage: Eukaryota; Viridiplantae; Streptophyta; Magnoliopsida; Poales; Poaceae. The record is from RNAcentral.